This 413-nucleotide ribosomal RNA is filed under the name uncultured bacterium. RNAcentral describes it as "bacterial SSU rRNA". It matches the Rfam family "Bacterial small subunit ribosomal RNA", at positions 32 to 455 of the family's 1533-position model. The record is from RNAcentral.
AAUCAACGCUGGCGGCGUGCCUAACACAUGCAAGUCGCACGAGAAAGGGACUUCGGUCCUGAGUACAGUGGCGCACGGGUGAGUAACACGUGAAUAAUCUACCUCCGAGUGGGGAAUAACUGAGAGAAAUCUUAGCUAAUACCGCAUAACACUUACGAGUCAAAGCAGCAAUGCGCUUGGAGAGGAGUUCGCGGCAGAUUAGUUAGUUGGCGGGGUAAUGGCCCACCAAGACGAUGAUCUGUAUCCGGCCUGAGAGGGCGCACGGACACACUGGAACUGAAACACGGUCCAGACUCCUACGGGAGGCAGCAGUGGGGAAUUUUGCGCAAUGGGGGAAACCCUGACGCAGCAACGCCGCGUGGAGGAUGAAAUCCCUUGGGAUGUAAACUCCUUUCGAUCGGGAAGAUAAUGAC